RNAcentral lists this ribosomal RNA (450 nucleotides) under uncultured bacterium. RNAcentral describes it as "partial 16S ribosomal RNA". It matches the Rfam family "Bacterial small subunit ribosomal RNA", at positions 29 to 523 of the family's 1533-position model. The record is from RNAcentral.
AGCGAACAUUGGCGGUAGGCUUAACACAUGCAAGUCGAGCGAGGCGUAAUAGUCGAGCGGCGAACGGGUGCGUAAUACAUGGGAAUCUACCUCGAAGUGGGGGAUAACGUUCAGAAAUGGACGCUAAUACCGCAUAAUCCAUAUUGGGAAAGCGUUGCAGCGCUUUGAGAUGAGCCAAUGGCUGAUUAGCUAGUUGGUGAGGUAAUGGCUAACCAAGGCGACGAUCAGUAGCUGGGCUGAGAGGAUGACAAGCCACCCUGGAACUGAGACACGGUCCAGACUCCUACGGGAGGCAGCAGUGGGGAAUCUUGCGCAAGGGGGGCAACCCUGACGCAGCCAUACCGCGUGAGUGAUGAAGGUCUUCGGAUUGUAAAGCUCUUUCGGCGGGGACGACGAUGACGGUACCCGCAAAAGAAGUCACGGCUAACUUCGUGCCAGCCGCCGCCGUAA